RNAcentral lists this ribosomal RNA (395 nucleotides) under uncultured bacterium. RNAcentral describes it as "partial 16S ribosomal RNA". It matches the Rfam family "Bacterial small subunit ribosomal RNA", at positions 523 to 918 of the family's 1533-position model. The record is from RNAcentral.
AUACGUAGGGUGCAAGCGUUAAUCGGAAUUACUGGGCGUAAAGCGUGCGCAGGCGGUUUUGUAAGACAGCGGUGAAAUCCCCGGGCUCAACCUGGGAACUGCCAUUGUGACUGCAAGGCUGGAGUGCGGCAGAGGGGGAUGGAAUUCCGCGUGUAGCAGUGUAAUGCGUAGAUAUGCGGAGGAACACCGAUGGCGAAGGCAAUCCCCUGGGCCUGCACUGACGCUCAUGCACGAAAGCGUGGGGAGCAAACAGGAUUAGAUACCCUGGCAGUCUACGCCCUAAACGAUGUCAACUGGUUGUUGGGGAUUUAUUUUCUCAGUAACGAAGCUAACGCGUGAAGUUGACCGCCUGGGGAGUACGGCCGCAAGGUUAAAACUUAAAGGAAUUGACGGGG